UCUCUUUCGGGUGUAUGUCUUCGUGUAGCAGCAAUUGGGACGUCAGCGAUUGGGACGUCAGCAAUGGGUCGUGUACCGGUAUCGGUUGCUCUAUGCUUUUGUCACAGAAAUUGGAUCCUACAACUUUUCGGUUGGCGACCUUAAGCAGCUUAAAUUUAAACGUACCCUCUAGUUCUCGAUUGGGCAAUAGGGAAUCAAACAUGCAAGGAUGCCAAGAAGAACAGCACGAGCUACAUGUGCGCCUACAACACUGCUUGCAAUGAUGCCGAAAACGGAUCUGGGUACAAGUGUACUUGUUUAGAAGGUUACCAAGGCAAUCCUUACCUUGGUUGUCAAGAUAUUGAUGAAUGUGCGGAUCCAAAGAAUAACCCAUGUCAGGGAAAAUGCCACAACAUUGGUGGGAGUUAUAAAUGUUCA
This is a long non-coding RNA of Eucalyptus grandis, 417 nucleotides long. RefSeq lists it as uncharacterized. The transcript is spliced from 3 exons. NCBI's taxonomy places the organism in Eukaryota, Viridiplantae, Streptophyta, Magnoliopsida, Myrtales, Myrtaceae. The record is from RefSeq and is a predicted model, not a curated record.